RNAcentral lists this long non-coding RNA (906 nucleotides) under Zostera marina. RNAcentral's name for it is "long non-coding RNA (ZMAR_LNC003133)". The record is from RNAcentral. Lineage: Eukaryota; Viridiplantae; Streptophyta; Magnoliopsida; Alismatales; Zosteraceae.
CCAACGUAUCAGAUCAUCUUGUAAACGAGCCCUGAUUUUGAAUUCAGGGAUAGCAAAUAACUGAGCAAAACAACAUGACUUUAUUCUUUUUGUUACAUUGUCGGGGAACUGUAUAAAUCCGGUGAGCGCAGCUUCAUUAUAAGUGGGUAUUCCAGAUCGGUGACGAAUCAAGUGGUUGACUAUAUUUCGAAAAUUAAAAUGAAUUAGCAACUGAAAACCAAAAAUAUAUUAAUUUUAAAAUAAUUAAUGCUUAACUGUUGGUCUCUUCAGGCUCGAACUUGCCAGUCCUUACUUUCUUCUUCUUCCUCACUUCUGCUCUUUCAUCAGAAGAGGAAGGCAUUUUAUCAGAUACAGCAACCUUUCUAGCAGACACAGAGCAUUUCUUCUUCAUAGAUAAGGGUUCCUUUUCUCUGCUUGAGUCAUUUGUAAUCCUACCCUUCUUUUUACGUACUUAUUCUCUUUCAUCAGAAGACUGAGACAUUUUAUCACAAGAUGCAACUUUUUUAGCACAAGAUUUACUUGUAUUCAUUUUCUCAGAAACUUUCUUUUCAUUAGGGGACUCAGUUGUAUUUUUAGCAUGGUCUUCUUCUUCUUCCGCUUCAUCAAUGUUUUCAACUACCGUCACUUUCUUUUUCCUCACAGCCUUCGUCUUUCUUUUGCUCCUUGGUGGUGACCUCACGACAUCACGAUUACAUUUCUUUGCGUUUAAUCUCUUUCGAUCGUCCGUCAUCAACUUUCGUAGCGUAGAUUCGAAGUCCAUCUCCUUAUGUCUUCGUAGAUGUUUCUGAAAGUUUACCUAAAAAAAUAAAAAAUUUGAAUCAUAAUACUUAGCAACCACCAUACACAUAUUAUGAAAUAUGAAAUAGCUAUUUACUCCGCUUCCUCUUCGAAAAAAUGAACUGAUCC